AACGAACGCUGGCGGCAGGCCUAACACAUGCAAGUCGAACGCUCCGCAAGGGGAGUGGCGCACGGGUGAGUAACACGUGGGAACCUACCUUCUGGUACGGAACAACCAAGGGAAACUUUGGCUAAGACCGUAUACGACCUCCGGGUGAAAGAUUGAUCGCCGGAAGAGGGGCCCGCGUCCGAUUAGGUAGUUGGUGAGGUAACGGCUCACCAAGCCUUCGAUCGGUAGCUGGUCUGAGAGGAUGACCAGCCACACUGGGACUGAGACACGGCCCAGACUCCUACGGGAGGCAGCAGUGGGGAAUAUUGGACAAUGGGCGCAAGCCUGAUCCAGCCAUGCCGCGUGAGUGAUGAAGGCCUUCGGUUG
RNAcentral lists this ribosomal RNA (366 nucleotides) under uncultured bacterium. RNAcentral's name for it is "bacterial SSU rRNA". It matches the Rfam family "Bacterial small subunit ribosomal RNA", at positions 29 to 425 of the family's 1533-position model. The record is from RNAcentral.